Molecule: ribosomal RNA, 467 nt
Filed under: uncultured bacterium
Lineage: Bacteria
Description: partial 16S ribosomal RNA
Rfam family: Bacterial small subunit ribosomal RNA
Source: RNAcentral
GACGAACGCUGGCGGCGUGCUUAACAUAUGCAAGUCGAACGGAAAGGCCUCAGCUUGCUGGGGUACUCGAGUGGCGAACGGGUGAGUAACACGUGGGUGAUCUGCCUUGCACUCUGGGAUAAGCUUGGGAAACUGGGUCUAAUACCGGAUAUGAACUGCCUUUAGUGUGGUGGUUGGAAAGUUUUUUCGGUGCAAGAUGAGCUCGCGGCCUAUCAGCUUGUUGGUGGGGUAAUGGCCUACCAAGGCGUCGACGGGUAGCCGGCCUGAGAGGGUGUACGGCCACAUUGGGACUGAGAUACGGCCCAGACUCCUACGGGAGGCAGCAGUGGGGAAUAUUGCACAAUGGGCGGAAGCCUGAUGCAGCGACGCCGCGUGGGGGAUGACGGCCUUCGGGUUGUAAACUCCUUUCGACAGGGACGAAGCUUUUUGUGACGGUACCUGUAUAAGAAGCACCGGCUAACUACGUG